Molecule: ribosomal RNA, 381 nt
Filed under: uncultured bacterium
Lineage: Bacteria
Description: bacterial SSU rRNA
Rfam family: Bacterial small subunit ribosomal RNA
Source: RNAcentral
GACGAACGCUGGCGGCGUGCUUAACACAUGCAAGUCGAGCGGUAAGGCCCUUUCGGGGGUACACGAGCGGCGAACGGGUGAGUAACACGUGGGUGACCUGCCUUUAGCUAUGGGAUAAGCCUGGGAAACUGGGUCUAAUACCGGAUAUGACUCCAUGAUGCAUGUUGUGGGGUGGAAAGCCUUGUGCGGCUGGAGAUGGGCCCGCGGCCUAUCAGCUUGUUGGUGGGGUGANGGCCUACCAAGGCGACGACGGGUAGCCGGCCUGAGAGGGCGACCGGCCACACUGGGACUGAGACACGGCCCAGACUCCUACGGGAGGCAGCAGUGGGGAAUCUUGCGCAAUGGGCGAAAGCCUGACGCAGCGACGCCGCGUGAGGGAUG